UGGGGAAUAUUGCACAAUGGGCGCAAGCCUGAUGCAGCCAUGCCGCGUGUGUGAAGAAGGCCUUCGGGUUGUAAAGCACUUUCAGCGGGGAGGAAGGCGUUAAGGUUAAUAACCUUGGCGAUUGACGUUACCCGCAGAAGAAGCACCGGCUAACUCCGUGCCAGCAGCCGCGGUAAUACGGAGGGUGCAGGCGUUAAUCGGAAUUACUGGGCGUAAAGCGCACGCAGGCGGUCUGUCAAGUCGGAUGUGAAAUCCCCGGGCUCAACCUGGGAACUGCAUUCGAAACUGGCAGGCUAGAGUCUUGUAGAGGGGGGUAGAAUUCCAGGUGUAGCGGUGAAAUGCGUAGAGAUCUGGAGGAAUACCGGUGGCGAAGGCGGCCCCCUGGACAAAGACUGACGCUCAGGUGCGAAAGCGUGGGGAGCAAACAGG
This 429-nucleotide ribosomal RNA is filed under the name Chloroflexota bacterium. RNAcentral describes it as "Chloroflexi bacterium partial 16S ribosomal RNA". It matches the Rfam family "Bacterial small subunit ribosomal RNA", at positions 355 to 776 of the family's 1533-position model. The record is from RNAcentral. Lineage: Bacteria; Bacillati; Chloroflexota.